This is a long non-coding RNA of Sorghum bicolor (sorghum), 136 nucleotides long. RefSeq lists it as uncharacterized. NCBI's taxonomy places the organism in Eukaryota, Viridiplantae, Streptophyta, Magnoliopsida, Poales, Poaceae. The record is from RefSeq and is a predicted model, not a curated record. The transcript has 2 exons.
GGGAAUGACCCAUUAGAAGUUUGUAGGCUCUGUUGGAGUGGAACCUCUCUCCCCAGAUAAGGGCAGGUGGAACAGCUGUGAUAAAUUACUACAUUCAAGUACUUUCUUGGCAGAAAUAUAUUGUUUUUUUGUAAAA